GGAAAUCUUCGGGGCAGGGUGAAAUUCCCUACCGGCGGUAUAGUCCGCGACCCGCUUCGGCGGCUGAAUUGGUGUAAUUCCAAUACCGACAGUACAGUCUGGAUGAGAGAAGAUGGAA
Regulatory RNA element from Marvinbryantia formatexigens DSM 14469, 118 nucleotides. It matches the Rfam family "FMN riboswitch aptamer (RFN element)". From Rfam's summary of the family: The RFN element is a highly conserved domain that is found frequently in the 5'-untranslated regions of prokaryotic mRNAs that encode for flavin mononucleotide (FMN) biosynthesis and transport proteins. Lineage: Bacteria; Bacillati; Bacillota; Clostridia; Lachnospirales; Lachnospiraceae. The record is from Rfam.